AGUCGAACGAGCGAGAGAGAGCUUGCUUUCUCGAGCGAGUGGCGAACGGGUGAGUAACGCGUGAGGAACCUGCCUCAAAGAGGGGGACAACAGUUGGAAACGACUGCUAAUACCGCAUAAGCCCACGACCCGGCAUCGGGUAGAGGGAAAAGGAGCAAUCCGCUUUGAGAUGGCCUCGCGUCCGAUUAGCUAGUUGGUGAGGUAACGGCCCACCAAGGCGACGAUCGGUAGCCGGACUGAGAGGUUGAACGGCCACAUUGGGACUGAGACACGGCCCAGACUCCUACGGGAGGCAGCAGUGGGGAAUAUUGCACAAUGGGGGAAACCCUGAUGCAGCGACGCCGCGUGGAGGAAGAAGGUCUUCGGAUUGUAAACUCCUGUUGUUGAGGAAGAUAAUGACGGUACUCAACAAGGAAGUGACGGCUAACUACGUGCCAGCAGCCGCGGUAAAACGUAGGUCACAAGCGUUGUCCGGAAUUACUGGGUGUAAAGGGAGCGCAGGCGGGAAGACAAGUUGGAAGUGAAAUCCAUGGGCUCAACCCAUGAACUGCUUUCAAAACUGUUUUUCUUGAGUAGUGCAGAGGUAGACGGAAUUCCCGGUGUAGCGGUGGAAUGCGUAGAUAUCGGGAGGAACACCAGUGGCGAAGGCGGCCUACUGGGCACCAACUGACGCUGAGGCUCGAAAGUGUGGGUAGCAAACAGGAUUAGAUACCCUGGUAGUCCACACCGUAAACGAUGAUUACUAGGUGUUGGAGGAUUGACCCUUUCAGUGCCGCAGUUAACACAAUAAGUAAUCCACCUGGGGAGUACGACCGCA
Molecule: ribosomal RNA, 817 nt
Filed under: uncultured bacterium
Lineage: Bacteria
Description: bacterial SSU rRNA
Rfam family: Bacterial small subunit ribosomal RNA
Source: RNAcentral